This 864-nucleotide ribosomal RNA is filed under the name uncultured Methanocella sp. RNAcentral's name for it is "bacterial SSU rRNA". It matches the Rfam family "Archaeal small subunit ribosomal RNA", at positions 1 to 872 of the family's 1478-position model. Lineage: Archaea; Methanobacteriati; Methanobacteriota; Methanomicrobia; Methanocellales; Methanocellaceae. The record is from RNAcentral.
UUCCGGUUGAUCCUGCCAGAGGUCACUGCUAUCGGUGUCCGAUUAAGCCAUGCGAGUCGAGAGGUGUAAGACCUCGGCAGACUGCUCAGUAACACGUGGAUAACCUGCCCAAGGGUCCGGGAUAACCCCGGGAAACUGGGGAUAAUACCGGAUGGGUCACCAGUGCUGGAAUGCUUGGUGGUCGAAAGGUGACGCCUUUGGAUGGGUCUGCGGCGGAUUAGGUUGACGCCGGAGUAACGUACCGGCGUGCCUGUAAUCCGUACGGGUUAUGGGAGCAAGAGCCCGGAGAUGGAUUCUGAGACACGAAUCCAGGCCCUACGGGGCGCAGCAGGCGCGAAAACUCUACAAUGCAGGCAACUGCGAUAGGGGGACAUCGAGUGGCAUCCACCUUGGGUGUCUGUCCAACCGUCUAAAAAACGGUUGUUAGCGAGGGCCGGGCAAGACCGGUGCCAGCCGCCGCGGUAAUACCGGCGGCUCGAGUGGUGGCCGAUAUUAUUGAGUCUAAAGGGUCCGUAGCCGGCUUUGCAAGUCCCCUGGGAAAUCCGGCGGCUUAACCGUUGGGCUUUCAUGGGAUACUACAUUGCUUGGGACUGGGAGAGGUAGGAGGUACUCGGGGGGUAGGGGUGAAAUCCUGUAAUCCUCCGGGGACCACCGGUGGCGAAGGCGUCCUACCAGAACAGGUCCGACGGUGAGGGACGAAAGCUAGGGGCACGAACCGGAUUAGAUACCCGGGUAGUCCUAGCCGUAAACGAUGCCCGCUAGGUGUCACGACGGUCGUGAAUCGUCGUGGUGCCGUAGGGAAGCCGCGAAGCGGGCCACUUGGGAAGUACGGCCGCAAGGCUGAAACUUAAAGGAAUUGGCGGG